Molecule: long non-coding RNA, 6133 nt
Filed under: Dasypus novemcinctus (nine-banded armadillo)
Lineage: Eukaryota; Metazoa; Chordata; Mammalia; Cingulata; Dasypodidae
Description: lncRNA (ENSDNOG00000052149.1)
Source: RNAcentral
AUGUCCUGGUGCAGCAGCUACAACAGGCUGGAGGCUGAAACAGCUCGGCGCGGGCCGCCGCUGUCGCUGCCCGGGCCGCUGCUGGUAGCUGGCUCUCCCUGGGAGCGCGGCCCUCGGUUCCCGGUUUCCUGGCCCAGUCCGCCGCCGCGGCGCGUCUUUCCCCGGCUCCGGCGGCUCGGUCACUGCUCCUGGCUGUUGGCUGAGCUCUGGAAGCCCCCUCGCCUUAAUGCAGCGCCCGCCGACGUCACCGCGGCCCGCGACCAAUCAGCUGCUCGCGGUCCCUCUGUAAACCAUUCUGCAUCUCCCGGCCCGGGAGAGUGCCGGGAGACCGCGUUUGGAGGAUCAGUAGCCGCGGCACCCGCGGUCCGGCGCGGCGCCGACAGAGAGGUUCCCAGGGCCCCAAUUGCUUCGCCUCUGCCUGCACUGCUCUGGAACUCCGAGACUCUCCGGCAACCCCCGUCGUGCCCCCCGCGUCACAUUUUCAUUUGGAACCGAAGCCGAAGGCGGCCCUGCUCUUCGUUGGCGCUUGGCACCACCUUGACCUCUGCCCUCACAGCGCACCCUGCAUUUAAACCCAAGUGGACUCAGCGAAGGACAGCAGCCUUCCCUUCUCGCCCUCGCCGCCAAGUUUACGGUCUCCCAAAGGAGGUACACAAGCGCUUUCCUACCCAACGUCUCCAAGUGGCACAGACCAACAACCACGUACAAGGCCUCAGGACUAUCGCAUAUUGGACCGGGUGCUGUGGGAGGAACUUGGCGGCUGUGCUGUCGCUCAGUGGCCGCAAAAUCCUUUUCACCCACUGCCAGGCUCUCCUGGUAAAGGCCCCAGAGGACUCCGGAAGCGGUUUUCACUCUCCAGGUUUCUCUUCUGAGAAGCGCCACGAGGGGAGGGACCCAGCUCAGGAACUGGAGAUACCGGGGCUUCUGCCAGUCCACCUCAAACUCCCUGUAGCUUGGGGGGCCAGAAGGCACUCCCUCCUGCACCCCUUUCCUCCCUCCGCCUUCCUGGUCCCGAACUCCACCUCCCCUCGCUCCCCGAAGUUCCCGCGAGUGGCUCGAGGGCCCCGAGGAUUGGAGGCGUCUGGGUCACCGGCGCUCGGGCAGUUUCCCCUCCCUCCCCGCCGCCCCGGAACAGAGAAGCUGUGGCGUCUCCCGCCUGCCCUCCGCGGACCCCAGGGGAGGGCGGUGAGCCGCAGACGGAGGCGCCCGGGACAGAGAGCGCUCUCGGCGGUUACCCCGCGCCUGGCUGCCGGAAUGGGGCGUGAGCCGGUCGCACCCCUGGCCCAGUCGGUUCGGGAGGAUGCGGCAGAUGCGACAUAUGCGACAGAAGGGAACUGUUCCGCCGGGUCCCAGGAUCUCGCCGCGCCCUCUCCCGCCCUUCCCAUCCCUUCUCCAGUUCUCACCAGGUUCCCUUAAUCUCAUUUCCUCUGUCAUCGAAAUGACCUACUUGUGCGCAGCAUUUUACAGUUUACUUCGCUGUCUUUUCUGAACCGCAGAGUAAGGCAGGGUGGGUGUUUGCGUAUCGGUAUUAUUUCUCGAUAUUUCCGAGGAGGAAAACCAAGUUAGGGCAUUUGUCCGAGAAGCCUCAAUUCAUGCUCUUUUGGAGGUGAGGAGUUUGGGGGGCCUGCCACCGGGCUCUAUUGUGUACUUGCCGCCGGUCAAGAUUUUCACGGGGCCUUGGGCAGACGGAUCACUAGGCCGGAGAAGGGCAGCAUCCGGUCACGGUGUGCGCUCGGCCUGGGUAAACAACGCGGGCUUCCCACGAGGGCCGGAGGGGACCCUGGGCACCCGGAGGGGGUUGGCAAGGUCGAGCCUGGCGCUCUCAGAUGCGAGGCGGCGCGGUGCCGAGGAGCGGAGACGAGACGGUGGAGCGCCUCGGUGGGGAGAGGGGACAGGAGCAAAAGAUCAGAGAAGAGGAGGAAUGCGGGAAAGUAGGCGGGGAAUGAGGAAGGAGAGACGUGGGGGAAAUGCGUGAAGGAGGACUGGAGGUGGGGAGAGGGGACAGGAGCAAAAGAUCAGAGAAGAGGAGGAAUGCGGGAAGUAGGCGGGGAAUGAGGAAGGAGAGACGUGGGGGAAAUGCGUGAAGGAGGACUGGAGGAAAAGAAAGGGAAAAAAGACCCAACGAGGCACCCGGCGUCAAAGAGGCGGCGGGCAGAGGCGCGCAGUUGGAGGGUGUGGCAGGCGCCGGCCGAGGGGGCACCCGGCGGGACUCGGCGGGUGUGUGGGUGUGUGACAGGCGCGUUCGCCGGCGGGAGAAAAGAAGGCGGCGUGUUUGGUGGGAGACUCAGCGCCCGUGGAAAGCCUGCGAGCAGCUCUGGGCAGGAAUCCAACAAAUAAAUAAAACGUCUAAGAUGGCGUGACAACAAUGUGUAUUUGGGUGCGUGCCCGUGUUCCUCUGUUAGAACACACACUCCCUGGUAAGGAAGACAAACGGGGCUCGUGCCUGAGAGUAAUUAAUCCUCUCACUAAUUGACUCUCCCCUUACCUAUCGGUCACUGCCGAUAUCUGGAGAGAUAGCAAGUGAGAAGAAAGAGAGAGAGAACCCCAAAGUUAACUACCUUUGGGACUGGGAGAGUUCUUUUUGGACUUGGCAACUCUAAGCCCUCCCUCCCUUUGGGCAGGAUUCAAUAGGUGCUGCUGCCUGGGCCCCUCCAAGUCUGGGCAGCAUUACUCAAGAUCUCCUCAGAUUGGGGUAACCUCAGCUCCCAGGGUGCCCCCCUCCAGGCUUCCCUAUAUCCCUCACCGGAGGAGAUCAAUCAGUGACCCACUGAGACGCCACCUACAGACCUCCUGCUGGACAUCUCCUACCUCCAGGCAGUACCAAGGUGCCUCCCCUAUCCCAUACCUCACCCCUGCCCCCUGUUACCCCUCCCCCAGGAGCCCAGACCCUGCACCCCUUCUUUCAGUCACUCUGUACUCUUCCCAGGCCCCCUGUUGUGUCCUGUGGUCCCUAGUAGAGCAGAUGAGGUUUUGAAUGUGUUGGGAAGCAGCCUUGAAUAGAUGGAGAACAGCGGGUGGGAUGGAGAGAGGUGUCUUAAGACAAACCCACUCAGACACAGAAGCCCAGAGGAGAGCGUGCAGGCAUGGCAGGAAUAAGGCUUCCAAAGACAGGAGGAAAAAGGCAGACACCAUGCACCGUGGGAGACUGUGCGCAGUGUGGGAGGGCAGGGGGUGGCUGUGUGGCCAUGAGAGGGGGGCAGUUCUGGUUUCUCCAGAGCAUGGAGAGGUGCUCCCUUUCCAGUUCUUAGGACUGGGGUGAGGAGGCAGGGAGGAGGGCAUUGGACUAGGGUUGGCCUGUGGAGAGUUGAGUCUGUCUGUGGAUGCGGGCUUGGGUUUGGGAGGUGGCAGCUUUGCUCUGUUAGCCUCUUCAGAGGCUAAAGAAAUAAAUGCUGAGAUCCAUAAACCACCCAGCCCAGGGGAAGGAAGGAGGGGGGAAGGGCAGCUGCUCCCCGGAAAAAAAUCCACAUCCCUCCCCCCACUAAACACAUUCUUAAUUGUCCCUGGGGAACAUUUGUACAUUUGACCAAAGCAAAUCCCCAAGCAGUAACAGCAAAAUUAGCCAUAGAGACUGGCUGCCCAGGGAGAGCUGGGGAUCUACAGAAGGGGGAAGCAAGACGAGAUGGUGAGCCUGUUUGGGAAGCUGAGAAACUUGGCUCCUCUUCCACUGUCUCUGUCAUGCCUUAGAAGGAAAGUGAGCAAGAGGAAUAAAGUUCUAGAGGAAAGAAGGAGAAGGGCAUAUAAAAGGCAAAUCCAGACCAGAGAGGAAAGAAAGUGAAGAAGAAAGCAGAAGGCGGGGAAGGAGGAGGAGGACUAUAAUAAAAGAGGGUGAAGGCGGCCCCAGGAGGCUGGGCCUCGUCCCCAACCAUCCGUCUUCAUUGUCUCCGUGUGUGCAAAGGCAACUCCGGCAUAAGGAAAAGCCACUAUUGGAGCCGCGGCUUUAUUUUAUAUCCUAUACAUCAGGAGGGAGGCAAAGCUUUAUUUUCGCCAAGAGACAGAUAUUUUAUUUCUCUCUUACGGUUUUAUGUGUGAGAGAUGUCAGGCUGCCACAAUGGAUGGCUAAUGCAUAGGCAAGAGGAAGCCGUGUUGGCAUGCUGUGUGUCGUGGGGUCUUGGGGGGGUGAGCGGGCCUGGGAUUUAGGGCUGAUGGGACACUCUGGGGGAUUUCUGCUAAAACAUCUCUCUUCAUAAAUCCAGAAGCAUGGUCAGCUCAACAGGGAGAAGAAGGAGUUUUAGAGGGAAAGAGUUGGGCUUAGUAAUAAACGAGCACACAAAGGAACCGCUUACCUUCCAAUAGGCUCGGGCAACCAGGGGCCCGGGGUCCUUGGAAAUGUAGAGACCCACGUCCAGACAUACCUGCCAUUCAUAGACGAGCAUUUUCCACCAGAAGUCAGUGUCUGUUUUGCCUUUUUUUUUUUUUUGUCCCUUCCCUUUCCCCAGAAAUCUUUUUUAACCUCCUCAGAGCCUUGGGGGAAAAGAGCCAUUAAUUUGCAAAUCAUCUGAACUGCGAAAGGAUCAAGAUGCCUAUGUUUUACGGCUAAAUCCAGCGUCUGAGUGGACACACAUAUGCACAUAUGAGCCCCUCGUGCCGUGAGCUCUGGGAGGGUGGGCACCAGAUUUGAAUCCAGGAAAAGCCCCCAGGGACCUGCUGCUGAAUUAAGCCUUAGAUCCCAAACUGCAUAACCUUCAGCUUUUUAAACGUGGAGAGAAGGGAGAUGAGGGCGACAAAGAGAUGGAGGGGGAAGUUUGUUAAUUAACACCUUCCGUCCAGGACUUCGACUAAUUGUCUUCCCCUCUCCCAGCCCCCCAAGCCAUUUCUUACAAAAGUUGCUUUGAUUCAAUCUCCUGUCCUACUCUUUCGAUUAUUUUUUAUUUUUUGGCUUACAUCCACUGUGGAGGGGAAAAGUUACUGCCCUCUUUCCUUUUUUCUCAGAGGAUUCCAGGUGGCACACGGUCCCCAGACAAUAAGCGCGAGGACCUGUCCCCACUUUCCUGGCUGUGGCCUUUAGAGGAGACACUUAACCCUUCUGGUCCUCAGUUUCCUCAUCUGUAACCCAAAGGGAUUGCUCUAAACGAGUGCUGGGGUCCCUUCCAGCUCCCACCUCCUCUGUCCGAAUGAGAUAAUAUGUGAAAACGCUUUGUUAAGGGUAAAGCCGGACGAAUGCGAGGAAUAUUAUUACGAUUUCUAAUCAAUCCUCUUUUCUCCGCAUGGAUCUUGAUUGUUUAGCACCAGCAAGCAGGGUAGGGAGGGCUGAAGCGGAGAAGACUUAGUGGAGAUGGAAAAACCCUGUGCCGCAGAGAAAAAAACCCUGCGUCUCUGGAAACAUUUUGAAGCCUGCUGGAGAGAGGUUGGGAAAAGGAAGAGGCCAAACUUUGUAUGACCCACUUGGGUCUGCGUGGAGGCAGACAGUGUGUUUCUUCAAAAGCACCCUUGGUCUCCAAGUGACAGACACAGGCACCCGAUGUGAAGGCGAUUUGCGAUUAUUAUUAUUUUUUCCAGGAAGAAAGGAUAAAGCAGGGUGUAGCUGAUUAGCAAGUUAAUUAUUUCUGUACCCCAAGGGUUCCAGUGGUAAGUUGUCCAGCUCUGGUAUAAUUUCACAGUCCGUGCAUUUCCCGGUGAGCACCUGGGGUGCCCAGGUCUGUCUCUCCAUCCAUCCACCUGCCUUCCUUCUUCCUCACUCACCUGGGGAGAUGAGCAGGGGCUGGGGGUGGGGUGGACGGUGCAGUAUAUGCCUUUGGCCUGGACUGUGGGGGGGGGGGGCAGGCAGAGAGCAGGGUGGAGGAAGCCUCACUGAUAGCCGUCUACCUCUGCUGAGUGUUUAAUUAUCUGGCCCUUUCUUCUUCUUUUUUAAUCUUUUGUUCAAUAAAUAUUAAUGAGGCAGGUUAUCAGAAAGUGGAGUUGCUGUGAGGUUAUUUCCCCAGACUUAGCCUGGAAAGAAACUGGGUUUGAGAGGCCUUUUGCCUCUCGCCUCCUCCUAGCCCCGGCUGUUCCGGAAUGCUCAGUAUUUGGAUGCCCAAAUCUGGCCACCACUUGUUCUGCAGUAGCCUCCUCCAGUCAGACUGCAAGAUCUGGUUUCCCCUUGGGGGAAGGGAGGGAGGGCUGUGUGGUCAAAUGACACCUCUUCUCCAAGAGAUAA